RNAcentral lists this long non-coding RNA (226 nucleotides) under Elaeis guineensis (African oil palm). RNAcentral's name for it is "long non-coding RNA (EGUI_LNC049931)". Lineage: Eukaryota; Viridiplantae; Streptophyta; Magnoliopsida; Arecales; Arecaceae. The record is from RNAcentral.
AUCUCAAAGUGAUGUACUAGAAAAUAAACCAAAGUAAGGAUCCAUGUACGUAAGGUACCAUGGUGAUCUCAGAUCAAAGGAUCACAUGCACCACUCUCACUGGAGAAUCAUCUGUCGACAUACUGUAAGGCUCCAUCAGAUAUUUUUCCUGCGGGUCAGUUUAGUAAACUCAUUCUCUAAUAAGCACCUACAUCCUUGUAUUAGUGUCACCACAUAAGUGAUUGUG